RNAcentral lists this ribosomal RNA (377 nucleotides) under uncultured bacterium. Its description in RNAcentral is "bacterial SSU rRNA". It matches the Rfam family "Bacterial small subunit ribosomal RNA", at positions 521 to 896 of the family's 1533-position model. The record is from RNAcentral.
UAAGACGUAGGUGGCAAGCGUUAUCCGGAUUUACUGGGCGUAAAGAGGGUGUAGGCGGUUCUUCAAGUCGGAUGUAAAAUCUCCCGGCUUAACUGGGAGGGACCAUGCGAUACUGUUGGGCUAGAGGACAGCAGAGGGAGGUGGAAUUCCCGGUGUAGUGGUGAAAUGCGUAGAUAUCGGGAGGAACACCAGUGGCGAAGGCGACCUCCUGGGCUGUUACUGACGCUGAGACCCGAAAGCGUGGGGAGCGAACGGGAUUAGAUACCCCGGUAGUCCACGCCGUAAACGAUGUCUACUAGGUUGUGGAAGUUCUGACGCUUGCACAGCCGAAGCAAAAGUGAUAAGUAGACCGCCUGGGGAGUACGGUCGCAAGGCUA